Lagenorhynchus albirostris (white-beaked dolphin) is the source of this 1294-nucleotide long non-coding RNA. RefSeq lists it as uncharacterized. Lineage: Eukaryota; Metazoa; Chordata; Mammalia; Artiodactyla; Delphinidae. The record is from RefSeq and is a predicted model, not a curated record. The transcript has 2 exons.
GCGCCCAGCUUAAGGAACCUGGUCCUUGGCACCUGUCGGCUCCAUCUACUCCAGUCAACCUUAGAAGCUCCCCAGGACCAUCUUGAGACUGUCCAGACCCUCCCCCCGAAUGCAGACCAGUAGGGCCGCCCGAUGACCUCACCCAGAGCCACCCAGCAAAUGAGUGCUGGACCGGGGACCAAGACCGGGCCACGUGGCCCCGCUGCCCCCGCCAGCCCCACUCAGCCGGAGGAGUGGCCCGGGCCUCGAGAUGGAACCUUAAGGGAACCCUCACCAGCCCUCUGGAGUUUGGCCUCCCGGAGCCAGGCCCGAUGCUAAGUGAUCCAAUGCGUAUUUCACAGUGGCGGUGGGAGAUGGAUGCCUCACAGAUGUGGCGUGCUUUUCACAGAUGAGGAAACUGAAACCUGAGCUGGACAAGAGUACAGGCUCCGGACGCGCAGGCUCAGCGGCCAUGGCUCACGGGCCCAGCCACUCCGCGGCAUGUGGGAUCUUCCCGGACCGGGGCACGAACCACUGCGCCACCGGGGAAGCCCCUCCUCAGAAAUUUUUGAAUGGAUGAAUCGACUCUUACAGAAUGGGAAACCUGAGAGUUGGGGAGCUGAGACUCAACAUGGUAUCUUCUGACACAUAAGUAGAUGCUCUUUUUCAUUUCAUUCUGUCUCCUGGAAUCAAAGUCUGUUAAAACUGAAGAGAGGGCCCUCAGAGACCAUCCAGUCCAUCUCCCUCACUUCACAGUGAAAAUGUGAGCUGGGACCUUCACAGAAACACACCUCCUAGGCUUAAGUAAUGUUGUUUUUGUCUUCCUUAGAAGCUGGGAGUAGGUCCUUGUAUACAUUAAAGAUCAAGAGACAAAAUGGAACUGUAAUUAUGAUUCUGAAAUUACUCAUAAUUAGAUCUAUGGUGAGGCUCUAAUUCAGAUUGAGACCAAGUUGCUGGUUCCCAAUAACCCACAAGUCAGUGAAGGUUCAAGAGGUGCUAAUUAGGACUUUCCUGGUGGCGCAGUGGUUAAGAAUCUGCGUGCCAGUGCAGGGGACACUGUUUGAGCCCUGAUCUGGGAAGAUCCCACAUGCCGCGGAGCAACUAAGUCCAUGUACCACAGCUACUGAAGUCCGUGCGCCACAGCUACUGAAGCCUGCACGCCUAGAGCACAUGAUCCGCAACAGGAGAACCACCGCAAUGAGAUGCCCGCGCACCGCAACGAAGAAUAGCCCCCGCUCGCCGCACGGAGAGAAAGCCUGCGCGCAGCAACGAAGACCCAACAAGCCAAAAAUAAAUAAAUAAUUAAUUUUAAAAA